AAAUUGAAGAGUUUGAUCAUGGCUCAGAUUGAACGCUGGCGGCAGGCCUAACACAUGCAAGUCGAACGGUAACAGGAAGCAGCUUGCUGCUUUGCUGACGAGUGGCGGACGGGUGAGUAAUGUCUGGGAAACUGCCUGAUGGAGGGGGAUAACUACUGGAAACGGUGGCUAAUACCGCAUAACGUCGCAAGACCAAAGAGGGGGACCUUCGGGCCUCUUGCCAUCAGAUGUGCCCAGAUGGGAUUAGCUUGUUGGUGAGGUAACGGCUCACCAAGGCGACGAUCCCUAGCUGGUCUGAGAGGAUGACCAGCCACACUGGAACUGAGACACGGUCCAGACUCCUACGGGAGGCAGCAGUGGGGAAUAUUGCACAAUGGGCGCAAGCCUGAUGCAGCCAUGCCGCGUGUAUGAAGAAGGCCUUCGGGUUGUAAAGUACUUUCAGCGGGGAGGAAGGUGUUGCGGUUAAUAACCGCAGCAAUUGACGUUACCCGCAGAAGAAGCACCGGCUAACUCC
Molecule: ribosomal RNA, 514 nt
Filed under: Salmonella enterica
Lineage: Bacteria; Pseudomonadati; Pseudomonadota; Gammaproteobacteria; Enterobacterales; Enterobacteriaceae
Description: bacterial SSU rRNA
Rfam family: Bacterial small subunit ribosomal RNA
Source: RNAcentral